This 500-nucleotide ribosomal RNA is filed under the name uncultured Actinomycetes bacterium. RNAcentral describes it as "bacterial SSU rRNA". It matches the Rfam family "Bacterial small subunit ribosomal RNA", at positions 67 to 565 of the family's 1533-position model. Lineage: Bacteria; Bacillati; Actinomycetota; Actinomycetes. The record is from RNAcentral.
CGGUAAGGCCCCUUCGGGGGUACACGAGCGGCGAACGGGUGAGUAACACGUGAGUAACCUGCCCCUGACUCUGGGAUAAGCCUGGGAAACUGGGUCUAAUACCGGAUAUGACCUCGUGCCGCAUGGUGUGGGGUGGAAAGGUGUUUUUCCGGUCAGGGAUGGGCUCGCGGCCUAUCAGCUUGUUGGUGGGGUAACGGCCUACCAAGGCGACGACGGGUAGCCGGCCUGAGAGGGCGACCGGCCACACUGGGACUGAGACACGGCCCAGACUCCUACGGGAGGCAGCAGUGGGGAAUAUUGCACAAUGGGCGAAAGCCUGAUGCAGCGACGCCGCGUGAGGGAUGAAGGCCUUCGGGUUGUAAACCUCUUUCAGCUCUGACGAAGCUGCCUGGUUUUCUGGGUGGUGACGGUAGGGGUUGAAGAAGCGCCGGCCAACUACGUGCCAGCAGCCGCGGUAAGACGUAGGGCGCGAGCGUUGUCCGGAUUUAUUGGGCGUAAAG